Long non-coding RNA from Cygnus olor (mute swan), 5704 nucleotides. RefSeq lists it as uncharacterized. The record is from RefSeq and is a predicted model, not a curated record. Lineage: Eukaryota; Metazoa; Chordata; Aves; Anseriformes; Anatidae. The transcript is spliced from 3 exons.
CAAUUGACAGCCAAAUUUAGUUUUGCAGAUGGAUUAAAUAAGAUGUUGUUUUAAGUGGAUAAGUGGCUGCUUAUCUCUCAAUUUAUUUUUAUGUCCUCAGGCUGACCCCAUUAUUUAUUCAUCAAAACUGUAAUACUAAACUGAGUUACCAGAAGAGGUUGGAUUUGCUUUUGUUUUCCAUCCUUCACGGACUGAGGGGGCUACAUAUGGCAGAUGCCCUGAAUCCAUCACUCAGGAGGGGCAGCACACCUGGGAGACAUUCAUCUUCUCCAGUAUUGAGCAGCUGACAAAGAUGAGUCCCUACCAGCAGGAUUUGAGGACACUUUGGACCAGUUUAGUGAGAAAGACUUCAUGCAGAGCAUAUACAACCCACUUGCAGGGUAAUUACCUAACUCCUGUAGGAUUUGCACUUUAUAAACCUCCCUAAGUAAAUUCACAAUUUGCACUUUCUGAAGUCAGUAAAAAUAAGUAAAUAUGAGCUAUGGAUUCAUAUCUUGUUCCACUAGAAUAUAUAUGGAGUAUUUGCCACCCUUUGCACAAAUUUGCUGGACAUCAUUACUGUAUAGGACUACUAUGCAUUUAUGUUAAUUAUUAAAGUGCAGCUCAGCAACACACUGGGCCCCAUUCAAAGUGAGACACAGCAACACCUGAUGUUUGUGUGCAAACCACCCCAGAAGGUUUACAAAUUCAAUUAAGAACAAACGCAAUGAGCUGUGGCAGAGAAGAUAAGUGUUAUAUAGGCAGGAAGGCAUUACUUAUAGUGACUAAUCUGCAGGCAUUGCUCAAGUGUCUGUGCCUACAGAAGCAGAGCACGGCAUCCUAUGCAUAGCUAAGGCAUCAAACAUGAGUGCAGGCUCUCUCUCACGGGCUCGUAGCAGGCUUGCACACAGCGUGAACCCUGGGCUCUGCACAUCCCAGGUCCACACCAGUGCCUUUCAAAGUCCUGGUGAAGGCACUGCACCAAAACCUGACCCAUGGGUGAUGCAAAGCAGUGAGCAAGGGUGAACUCGAGAAUAUAGCAUAAGAAGUAGAUGCUGCAAACAAGUCUGAGCACAUCCUUAUGAGCCAGCUAUGAGCUUUUUAGAGGAGAAAGGAGGGCUUCAGCCAGCAUUCAAGUGACCUGCUCACCUCAACAGGAGGAGACCACUGCACAGACCUUCCCUACCAUUCUCAGCACCAAGACCCAGAACGUAUCUGAAGGAUGGUUAUACAGAGAGAAAAAUUAAGAACUAAGAGACAGUAACAGAUCUUUGGCAUGGUCUCUAGCGCUGUUACCAGUUUUGGGUACAACCAGUAACACAUGGGAUGGCAGUCAAUGUUGCAAUGCAUCCAUGUUAGAUAGUAAGACAAGACCUAAACCAUUGGCUGCUUCUGUCCGUAUCCCACCUUCCAUCCUGGGCACUUUUGAUGGGCAUAACAAUACUAACAGUUAAUCACAGAACAGUAAUGACCAGGAAAUAUUUUUGAGUGAUGCUGGGUCACAAUUUUAGUCCUUCUGUUUAAACAGAGUUAUCAAAUACCCCAAUCAAAGCUUUGUUUUGUCUUUAAAGUGUGUGUGGGGAGUCUUUUGUUCAGUGAUGGCUCAGUUCAGCUGUAGCUCUUUUGCUACUCCGCAAGAAGGUUUUUGAGGUUUUGAACAUUUUAGAAACUCCAUAUGAAGACACCUUACUGAGAAUUUGCUAUUAAUACAUUCAUGACAGCUUGCGUUUAAGGAUAGUGCUCCUCUCCACCAAAGCAUUUUUUUGAUACUUUGCCAAAGAAUGGUGGUAUGGAUUUGUCAUAGACCAGCUUGACAGCAAGAUUUAUUCUCUCUAUAUUCCUAUUUUAAAACAAGUGUUAUAGAUGAGAAACACACACACACAAAACCCAUUAUUUUUCAGGAAUGUUUUCAUUUUAACUACAUAUUUCUCUAUAAAAAUACUGUUUAAAUCAGGCUUGAAGGUUUCCUGAGUGGCUUUUUUUAUUAUUUUUAUUUUGCUUUGUUUUGUUGGGUUUGUUUGUUUCCUCCUGAAAUGUUGUCCUGUUAGGAAUAAAAUGAGGAUUCAGUUUUUUCUUUGCAGGAAACUGGAAGCUUCCUCCUUCCAAUCAGCCUUAUUUUUUAUACUGGGUAGAAGAAAUCUACUUUACAUUUUUCCUAGAUAGUGCCCUUCGGGGUGUAUUUGUAGAGUUUCACAACCCCACCCACUGUAUUUUAAAUUGAUACAACUUGUUUUCACACACACACACACUGAUCCAGUUAAAAUGUAAAACCAUUUUGAUGUAUAUAAAGUUAUGAUGUAUCUUAAAGGCUCAGAAAAAACACAAAAAUUUUGAAAACAUAAAAUAGCAUUAAUUCUGAUUAUGGGAAAGCAAACAAACAAAAAAACAUAACUGAUUAAUGCUUUGAUAAGCAGGAGCUCUCCCAGAGAGCUCUGCCUCUGGCUGGUUCACAACGCAGGACAGAGAACACCAACCCCAUGUUUUCCACCAAUGUUGCCUUCCCAGCAUGGUGAGUGAGGACUCCCACACUCGAGCGCUGCAAGGCUAACCCCCACUUAAUUCCUUCACACUUUAGUCUCAAGCACACCCCCAGCCCACUUCAGGCUCCUCCAUCACCCACAUGCCCCAGAACAGCCCCAUGGAGACGUGAGAGGAUAUCUCGUAGCCAGCUCCAGCCUCGAAUACAACCCAAAACACUUCCCUUGAAAGAGCCCUGUUCCCCAAGGAGGGAAAGCAGAGACAAGCUCUCUUUAAAACACGCAGUUCCUUUUCUCUCCUCUCUUUUCCAAAGGGACAUUUGGGGUGCUGCUGCCCCAAGCUAGGGGCUCUCUACCUCUUUCUGCUCUAGCAGCAUGGGAAGGAAAGCCAACCAUUAGCUGAGGACUAUCAUAUUGUCUAUUGUCUUCUGGUCAGAUGCUGUGUUGUGCAGCUACAUAACACCAGAUGCAGUUGGCGCUCAGCCGCACAAUUUUGGUCUCUGUUAUAAUUAAUAAAUACUCAUUAGCAUACCAAAGGAAUUAAACAUUCUCAUCCUAUUCUCAUUACAUCAUAUUAAGACAGAAUAGUCUCUUCCUAACACUGUUUGUAAGCCAGACUUCAAUUUUCUCACUCAGGUUAAAUAGCACCUUGCUCUGUUUUCCCACUGUGGUGAGGCCUCUUUGUGAAGUAAUGUGCCACUCAUUGUAAUUAGCUGAAUCUCAGGCUCUCCUUAUUUGUUAUUGCUAAGCUCUUAGUUUACACCCUGGGUCUUAAUGGUUUUUGGUCAAGAAAUUGUAACCACAGCUUUUCUGAAUAGAGUGAUCCUUGUUGGAAAAACAAAACAAAACGAAACAAAAAUUAAAAUGAAAAAAAUAAUAAUAAUAAAAAAAAAAUGACCACAACCUUGCCUCCACCUCAGAAGGAAGUUCUUGAACCCCAAACCGAAGGAUAAAUCAAAACUACAAAAUUUGAUACACUCUGUCUCAGUACUCCUUUAAAGCCUGAAAAUUCUGCUAAAAUUGAUUUUCCACAAUGCUUUUGCUUUUGUCUUGCAUAAUUCUGAUUACACUGCCAAAUGAUCUUGUUUCUUCAAUCGUAGUCCUCAGCUUCUCUGGUAUAAUGUGUAUUUUUCAUCAGAUGCUCUAUAAAACCUCCCAAAAUAUUUGAUAUUUUGCCAGCAUUCAUUUUCAUUUUACUUCUACAAGCAAUCCUUAUAGAAGCAGAUAAGCCCCUGUGUACAAUUUUCAUUCCAAUUAAAAAUAAUAUCAAUCCAUUAGCCUAAAAAAUGUAGGGUUUAGUAUAGCUAAAAGGGAAGAACAGAUAACUUGACAAUGUAAAUAGCUUUAAAUGUAACAAUUUCUAAUGUUUUUCAAAACAAAAUAUUUCACUGCAACUGCCUAUUUCAAGUGUGGAAUUAUAUUUAACAAUUCAUGUUUUACAACUAUCUGAACUGUAGGUUACAAAUUAAAAUUAAAUACAUGAGUAAAAAUCGAUAAGAAACCAUAUAAUUCUUCAUCAUUUUUGUAACUAACUGGAUAUUCUGGAUUUCCAGUUUUAGUUAAAAGUUUGAAUCAAGCCUUUGAUACAUUUGUCUCUAAGGUUACUAGAUUUUGUUGUUUUUCUUUUUGUUUGUUUGUAUGCACAGCACUUUAUUUCAGAAUGAAAGCUCUGAAUACAGCAACAUAUUUCAAUAAAAUGUCUCUUUACCACACUAUUACUUACUUAGCUCCCUUCUAAUGGUGGUAAAAACCCUCUUAACAAUGGAUCCUAUGCAUUAUUUCAUUUGUCAAAUGUAUGUACCAGGAAAAGGGUGAUAGGUGCCACUGGACACAAAACAAUGCAAUUCUUAGUUUGUUUUACUCUUCAUUCAGAAUAUGAGAUGAUCUGCCCAUUUAUUAAACCAACUCUUCUACAGUAUUAACAGUUUUUCUUUUCCAAUGCAUAUAUUCCCUUUCCUUUAUUCAGUUAUGUUAGAGCAUUUACAGGUGUUGCCGGAGCUGUAAUUUCUGCCAGCUGGUCUAUCAGCUGCAGUGCCUUUGAGUCAGCCACUGAGUGCCCUUACAAAGCUCCCCUUCCUCACCUUUGACUAGUUGGAGAAUAGCAAGACCACCAUAACACUUGUUAUUUUAAAAAAUGUUUUUCUUAUCCCUGAUGUAACAAUUUCAUGUCUUUGCCUAUCAAAUUGCAUUCCUGUUACAGUGUUCCUUUACUAGCAGAGAAGACCCUGAAUCUAGUGCAAGAAUCAAAGCAAGAGGCUUUAGCAGACAGCUCCUCUACAGAAAGCUGCAAAGGCUCUGCCCUGCGUGUAGGACUGGACUAUCCACCUGUAAGAGAUGCAGCCACCUUGGAAGUUGCGACUCUCCUUAGCCAUAUCCACGGGCUUCCAAUCCUCAGAAGCACUCUUGAAAUCGUUCAAAGGGAAAAGAGGAGUGAUCUUAAUGGUACUGAAGGAUGUUUUGCAGAAGAUGUACCAGUAAUCAAUACUGGUGAGGUUCGUCCUUCCCCAGAGGCAACUGACUUGACAGCAGGACUUGAAGUAAAUAUAAAAUGCUAGGAUCACCGCACCUUGCCUAUGUAUGUGUUUUUAGGCUGUGCAAAAGAAACCUGUGUUCAGUCUCUUUGGGUCAGUCUUCCCUUUGUGUCAGUUUCUUCAGUAAUAUCUAACAGACCUGCAAGGAGGGAUACUAGGUCAUACCUUGCAUCCUCUGCAUUUUAUUAAAGGAGUGAACACUCAAUGCUCCCAAUUUUCCAUGGAGAAUCUUUGGCUUCAGAUCAAAUACAAGCUCUUCUGUCUUAAAAGGCACCUUUUCUCAACUAAAUGAAUCUAACUGACUACACACUCAAAAUAAGUGCCAAAGCUGAGAGAACAGAGGUAAUCACCUUCAUUUUCAGACAUGGGUAGAUCUACAUAUGACAAAAACAUAGGAACAACAAGCAGUUGGUUACAGAAAAUCAUAGUAAAUGUUGAUCAAAUUAAGUCAUUAAUAUUUCUGUCUUUGCUGCAAAAGGAUUAAAACACUGAAUUUAAAAUAAUCAGCCUUUUUAUAUACUCAACAACCUGGAAAAUAUAUUCCAAUUGACAUACACUUUCUCCUGAUCCUGUAAUAUAACUGAAGUUUCAAUAUGACCUACAGCUUUCACAGAUUUUGCAAGUCCUUACAGCAGAAAAAGGAUAGAGGAAAUCAAGAAGGUAAAGAUAAGCUCUAAUAAGCAGUAAAUGGAUAUGUUGAUUCCCUAGGUUUCCAUA